AAAAAAACCCAGCAACAAGGAAAAAAAAAACAAAGUAAUUCACCCAGAAAAAAAAGAAGCAGGAGGACCCAAAAAAAACCAGAAAAACACAAGCAAAAAACCCAGAAAAACAGAGCCGGGAUAAACAGAAAAAACCAGAAACAGGGGGGAAAACAGAGGACGCGCACAAAUAAAGAUAGAGACGAGUAUUGGUGCUCAUUGCCUUCGUCCCUGCAAACAACGAAAACCAGGAAUCAAAAACAAGUUCCCCUCAGGCCGGUCUCUUCAUCAUCCUCUCGACUGGAAAACCCAGGAGACACACAGAAAAAAAAACAAGCAGAGGAAAAUCACGAGAUCGCUGCCACUGCCUUCAGCGUUUCCAGAACCUGAAGAGAAAGUAAAGGAAAGCAGAAGAACGAGCAGAAGAGAGAAGGCAGUGCCGGCCAGCCAGAGCUUCGUCAUCGUGUCCAUCGAUUCCAGCAGACCAGGUAAGUGGUUUCUUCUUCUGCAUUUAUUUCAAAUGCCUUAUGCACUGUGCAAGUGAAUUUUAAUUCACUUGCACAGUGCAGCAGCACGCGUGCGUUAACGCACGCGUGCUGCUGAGCCCAGCCGGGCCACUGGCCAGGCCGGGCUGGCUGGGCUUAGCCCAGUCCAUAUCGGCUGAGCUGGGCCCAGCCAAAAAAUACUAUGUUGGGCUGGGCCCAGCCCAGCCCCAAAAAAAAUAAAAAAACAGAAAAAUAAAAAAGGAGGUGGAGAAAAAUAAAAAAAUAAAAAAUGUGUAUGCAUAAAUAAAAAUAAUGUAAAUUUAUUGGUUUAUUCACUAACGCCAGAGUUAGGAAUAAAAAUACCGGUUUAAAUUUAUAUUAUUUUUAUUAGUUGUAUUUUAUUUUAUUUGGAUGAAUAAAAAUAAUGUAAAUUUAUUGGUUUAUUCACUGACGCCAGAGUCAGGAAUAAAAAUACCGGUUUAAAUUUAUAUUAUUUUUAUUCGUUGUAUUUUAUUUUAUUUUAGCUAGAAAAAAUAAAAAAUAUGUGCAUGCGUAAAAAUGAAUGUAGUAUUAUUUAUUUAUUCACUGGCGUCAGAGUUGGGAAUAAAAAAAAACAUUUGAUUUAAAUUUAUUUUUUUUAGCUACGUAAUAUUUAUCAACACCAGAGUUGGAAAUAUUCGUAGUUAAUAUUCACUGGCGCCAGAGUCAGGAAUAUUGUAAGCAAAUUUUCAUAACAUAAAAAAAAAAUAAACAUUUAGCAAUUUAAGACGAAACUAGCAAUGUAGCCUGCCUCAGGCAGGACGUUUAAGGGGUGAUAUAAAUCUUCCCUUACGUAACCAGUCCGAACCAUAAAAUCUCUGUUGACCAGUUAGGGUUCCUAGUGACCAUAAUACUAGGUGGCGACUCCUUAAACAAGAAUAUUCCAUCAAAGAACAGGAUGCCAGAAAUCCGUUCUUUCCAAAGAUUAAUUAAUUUUUAAGGCCGCCGGAUGUCGGGUGCGACAGAAUGGCGACUCCACUGGGGACUAAUGGACUAAGCUUUGCUUUUGUUUAUCAAUUGCUAUAAUGUUUUUAUGUUAUGUUUAUUUGUUUAUUUUUCUUGAAUUUACUGCUUUAGCAUGCAUCCAUGUUUAUAUUGUCAUGCAUCACGUUAGAGCACACACGACAACUGAAAAUCUAGGAUAAGUGGGAAAGUAACGGUACCCCAAUGGCUUUGCCUGGGUAAGACUCGUGAAACCAUCCAACUCUCGCUUGAUUGUUUACUUGGAAGUGGUUGAUAUGCCAAACUGAUAUUACUCAGGGCCUCUAUUUUCACACUACUUGUAAGCCUCAUAUCGACCUUUCAUGGACGAUCACUGAGCAUGCGAGAGACCCUUUGAAACUAGAUAAUGACCAACCCUUUGAUGCACUCAACAAUUAGGAUCUUCCUAUUAGGUUGUCAUCCCGUGAAGGACGUGUCUGCAUUCCAUACGCAUUUUUAAUUGAAUCAACAUUUUUGCAUAAAUUGCAUGAUUUACAUUUACAGGUUGAAAUAUAGGUUCCCAUUUGAAACCCAUUAGAGAAAAAGACAAAUGGAAAUGAAGAAAGAGCCAGUUGGAAGCCCAACAUCAAAAAGAGGUGGACAAUCUUAAAGAAGAAGUCGCAAGGCUUACUAGUCUACUCGAGCAGGCCUUGAGAGAUAAAUCCGGAAAAGCAACACUUAUAGCUCAGCCUGAAGAUGCUGUAAAUCUCAUUCAUCCACAGAAUCUGGGGCAAAUGGGUUGUCAUCUGAUUUCAACAAGCCAUGCAUUUUCACCAGCAUACCCCCGAGAAUGUCGUUUACCAUUGAUUCUACAGAGAAUGAAUCUCAAAAGGGCAAAGGUAAAAGAAGAUGAGCUGAACAAAUUCAUUGCCUAGAACAAAGGAUGAGGGCAUUUGAGGGAAUUCACCUUAUAUCCUAUAAAGGCUGCUGAGAUGUGUUUGGUGCCAACGUAGUCAUUCCAAAAGUUUAGAGUGCCAGAAUUUUAAAUAUACGGGAACUCAAUGCCCUAUAACUCAUCUCAAAGCAUACUGCAACAAAAUGGCUGAGGUGGUUGAUGAUGAGAAACUGCUGAUUCAUUUCUUUCAAGACAGUCUGAGUAAUGGCCCUCACUUGGUAUAUGCGGUUGGACAAUACCAAGGUUAAAAAAUGGAAGGAUUUAGUUGAUGCCUUCAUGAGGCAAUAUAAGUUCAAUAUAGAUGUGGGCCUGAUCGUUUAAGCUUGCAAGCUAUGGAGAAGGAUAACAAAGUCCAUAAGAGAAUACGCCCGGAGAUGGAGUGAGUUAGCUGCACAAGUUAACCCUCCCAUGUUGGAAAAAGAGAUGAUCACUUUAUUUUCCGACACCUUUAAAGCUCCGUACUUUGAAUACUUGGUUAGAAGCUCUGCACAACAUUUCACUGACCUGGUUGUUAUAGCUGAGAGGAUUGAACAAGCCAUUGGGUUAGGUAAGAUUGCUAACCCGACUGAGAAGAACGGUUUCACUGAAGGUGGUUGCCAAGACACUUAUCAUUUCUAUAGCUAAUUGCUUCACAUCGACUCCUAGAAAUCAACUAUCUUGAAGAUAAAGCUAUGGUGAUAUUAGGUCGAGAAUGAUCUACAUUUGAUUUCAAUUGACUGUUGAAAAGAUGCCGUUGUCGAGGAGAAUGAAUGAUUGAAAUAUUCCAGAAAUUCCAAUCAAUGAUCGUUAAAUGUUUAGCCUCUUUAUAUGUUAUCAUACCAGUAUUCAUAGCCCAAGAUGUUGUCAUAAGUUCUUUCUUGUUGAACUUAUUUUCUAAAGUUUCAAUGAAAAUAAUGAGUUUGUCAUUCAAUCGUGUUUACGAUUAGCAUUAUUCAUUUUUUCUGAGAGAGUUUUCUUAUAAAGAUUCACAAACACAUCUUUGAAGCCUUGUGCGAUCUCAUAGACGCAAUUCAUCUUUUACCAAAAAUCAGUUUCCCUAUUGGAGUUUUGAAAAAAAUUGAUCUGGCAUUUUGAUUUCAAAAAAUAAUUUGAUGUUUAUUCAAAAACGAUAUUUUUGACAUUCUACUUAUAGAAUGACAAGUGAAUCAAGCAACUCCAUCAUUGAGGUGACUAAAUUAGAAAAACAAUUAUAAAAAAAAAAUAAACACCCUUACCCCAUUACUCUUGAAUCAUGUGUUUUUAAAUGUAUGAAUAAUGGUAUAUAGUGAACUUGUUGCUCAUAACUCAUGAAAUGCAUCUUUGCAAAGAAUAAACCAUCACACUAUACGAGGUCAAAGUUUAUUGAUCAUAGCUGCUUGCGCUUGAAAUGAGGAAAGGCCAUCUUUGUUAUUCCUUUCACGUUCUAAAAUAAGUACAUCCCUUGCAAACCCUUUUUGAGCCUGAAUAAUUUUUCUUUCAUAAAAAAAUCCCGACUAAGAUCACACCCUACACUGGGGGCAAGUGAAAUUUCAAUGAUCAAGAAGGAUGAUAAAGCCGUGAGAAAGCCAAAAGGCAAAAGAGCCCAAGAAACUCAAAUGCUAGGGAUCAUGCCCACAUCACAAAAAAGGGGCAAGUGAAAUUUCAAUGAUCAAGAAAAGGAUAAAGCCGUGAGAAAGCCAAAAGGCAAAAGAGCCCAAGAAACUCAAAUACUAGGGGGCAUGCCCAAUCACAAGAAAAAGUGAUAACCAAGAUAAAGUGAGUAUGCUCUAGCGAGCAAUGAAAAAGAAAAAAGGGGCAAAUCAAAGAAGAGCGGCAAAGGAAAAUAUGAAUGACGUCAAAAGUCAAACUAUUGAUCGUGAUCUUCAGUCUUUGAAACCCUGAAACACUCUUUGAGCCUUAUGAAUCAUUUUCUUUCAUAGCCAAAAACCACAGCCUAUGUUACGUGCCUGUAGAAGUCCUUUCUAAUCAAGCAAGCAAGCAAUCUAGAACAAUAAACAAUGCUCUCAAAAUGCAAAGAAUACUUUUUCAUAAGAUUCAUGACAUCAAGAAUAAACUACUCAUUAUUAUUCAUGCUGAUAAAAAUAAAUGUUCAAAAAGAGACAAGUUUUUCUCAUACAAAACCUCGAGCUUUUUCUCGAGCCCUUCACUUCAAAACAAAAGGUCAUCUCAUGAUAUGUUUUCACCGAAGACCUCGUUACCAAACACAAGAGCAAAUAAUCUCUUUUCCAAAAGAAAAUAACCAAGGAGUUGCAAGAUUUCAAAAAGCAAAUUGUUAUUUGACUCACAUCGAAAUAAUUUUUGUUUUCAAAAUGCAAGAUCAAGAUUUCAAGAUUCAUUCUAGACCCAUAUUCCUUCCACCAAACUGAAAAGGAGAGAAAUGAGAGAAUGCCUCUUAAAACCUUUAUUUUCUAAGUCGCUGACAGAAGCACACUUAGGGGAAUAACCAAUACAAGGGGGCAACAUUGUGUUUAGAAGGAAAAUUCUAGAAAAGGAGAUGGUAAUUUCCUUCAACCAGACAAGGGGGCAUUUUGGUUUACAAAAGACAGCUCGAUCCUUUCAGCAAGUGAUACCAAUGUUUUUAGCAGUGAAGACGAGUAAUGAAUAAUCCUCUCAAAUUAUUUGACGAAUCAGAAAAUCUUAGCAAGCAAGUGGGUCACGAUGGCACCAAAAUGCUGAGUUGUGCAAACAAAUUUGGAAAGACUUACAUGGGCCAACUCGAGUGGGCUAGAAAGCUAAACGACAAAGAUGACUCAAAUCAGAUAGCAAGAUCUCACCAACAACAAGAAAGAUUAAGAAGAAAUGGGGGCCUAUAUUUCAAAUCAGGUAAAGAUGCAUGCAUAUCAUUUAAACUUGGAGACAUUGGACAAUGAGUUUUGCAAACUUCAUAUGAGAAAAUUCCAACAAAAUCCAUCAAGUGGAAGGCCAACUUGAAAUGGCCAAAGAUCAAAAUUGCUGUUGAAAAUUAUCAUUUUUGAGAAUUUUUCAACCUGGGCAGGCCGCCCAUGAGAAUUAGGCCACCAGAAAAAUCUCUGUAUUUUUUCACCACCUUUCAGUUUCCACACCUGAGGUAGUGCAUUUUCUAUCCUACCUCCAUUCGAGCGCGCCUUCGAGCCCUCGUCUUACAUUCGAGCGCGCCUUUGAGCCCUCGUCUUACAUUUGAGCGCGCCUUCGAGCCCUCGACCAUCAAAGGUAGUGCAUUUUCUAUCCUACCUCCAUUCGAGCGCGCCUUCGAGCCCUCGUCUUACAUUCGAGCGCGCCUUCGAGCCCUCGUCUUAUUUAUUUUCGAGCGCGCCUUUGAGCCCUCGACCAUCAAAGGUAGUGCAUUUUCUAUCCUACCUCCAUUCGAGCGCGCCUUCGAGCCCUCGUCUUAUCAUUCGAGCGCGCCUUCGAGCCCUCGUCUUAUUUAUUUUCGAGCGCGCCUUCGAGCCCUCGACCAUCAAAGGUAGUGCAUUUUCUAUCCUACCUCCAUUCGAGCGCGCCUUCGAGCCCUCGUCUUACAUUCGAGCGCGCCUUCGAGCCCUCGUCUUAUUUAUUUUCGAGCGCGCCUUCGAGCCCUCGACCAUCAAAGGUAGUGCAUUUUCUAUCCUACCUCCAUUCGAGCGCGCCUUCGAGCCCUCGUCUUAUAUUUUCGAGCGCGCCUUCGAGCCCUCGACCAUCAAAGGUAGUGCAUUUUCUAUCCUACCUCCAUUCGAGCGCGCCUUCGAGCCCUCGUCUUAUUUAUUCGAGCGCGCCUUCGAGCCCUCGACCAUCAAAGGUAGUGCAUUUUCUAUCCUACCUCCAUUCGAGCGCGCCUUCGAGCCCUCGUCUUACAUUCGAGCGCGCCUUUGAGCCCUCGUCUUACAUUUGAGCGCGCCUUCGAGCCCUCGACCAUCAAAGGUAGUGCAUUUUCUAUCCUACCUCCAUUCGAGCGCGCCUUCGAGCCCUCGUCUUACAUUCGAGCGCGCCUUCGAGCCCUCGUCUUAUUUAUUUUCGAGCGCGCCUUUGAGCCCUCGACCAUCAAAGGUAGUGCAUUUUCUAUCCUACCUCCAUUCGAGCGCGCCUUCGAGCCCUCGUCUAUUUAUUUUCGAGCGCGCCUUCGAGCCCUCGACCAUCAAAGGUAGUGCAUUUCUAUCCUACCUCCAUUCGAGCGCGCCUUCGAGCCCUCGUCUUAUUUAUUUUCGAGCGCGCCUUCGAGCCCUCGACCAUCAAAGGUAGUGCAUUUUCUAUCCUACCUCCAUUCGAGCGUGCCUUCGAGCCCUCGUCUGAGUUCUUUUCGAGCGCGCCUUCGAGCCCUCGACCAUCAUAGGUAGUGCAUUUUCUAUCCUACCUCCAUUCGAGCGCGCCUUCGAGCCCUAGUCUGAGUUUCGAGCGCGCCUUCGAGCCCUCGUCUUAUUUAUUUUCGAGCGCGCCUUCGAGCCCUCGACCAUCAAAGGUAGUGCAUUUUCUAUCCUACCUCCAUUCGAUCGCGCCUUCGAGCCCUCGUCUUAUUAAAAAAAAAAAAAAAAAAAAUUCCUUGUAUUUUACCAACUGGGCAGGUAACCCAUUACAAUGUGACCAACUGGGCAGGUAACCCAUUACAAUGUGACCAUUUGGGCGGGUAACCCAUUACAAUGUGACCACCUGGGUCGGUAACCCAUUACAAUAUACCAACUGGGCAGGUAACCCAUUACAAUGUGACCACCUGGGUCGGUAACCCAUUACAAUAUACCAUCCUAUACUGGGCAGGUAACCCAUUACAAUGUGACCAUCUGGGCCGGUAACCCAUUACAAUAUACCAAUUGGGCAGGUAACCCAUUACAAUGUGACCACCUGGGUCGGUAACCCAUUACAAUAUACCAUCCUAUACUGGGCAGGUAACCCAUUACAAUGUGACCAUCUGGGCCGGUAACCCAUUACAAUAUACCAUCACAAAAAAAAAAAUGAAAAGAAAAAAAAAAGAAAAAAAUUGGCUGUCUUCCAAAUGACUUGUUUUCUCUAUAAAAGUCAUAUGUCAAUCUCUGGUUUUCGAAGUUUUCAAGACUCUAAAAAAGAGGCAAAAGUUAUUUUUGUAUCUAAUUUUCUUUAUAAAUUUACUACACAAAGCUAAAAGAAAAUGAAAUUUUCUAAUAUCGUUGCAUUGUAAAUAUUAUAAAGAGGGGGCAACUGUCAUAACCCAAUUUUUGAACAAAUAAUAAAAAUUAAAUAUAGUUGACAAUGGGGUUAAGACAACAAAUUUUGAAGCGUAAGGAUAAAAUUAUCAGAUUUGAGAAUAAAUUGGUCAGAAAUUGAAGAAUUAAUAAGUUUGGAAAUUUACUUAAAGUUUAGAUUAGUUUAAUUAAUGAAAUUAGAAGAAUUAAUAAGUUCAUGGACUUAAUUAAAACUUUGAUUUAAUUAAUUAAAUAAAUUCAGGGACUUAAUUGAAAUUUAUCCAAAAAGGGCAAAUUGAAAGAAAUUUUAUUUGCUUAGGGUCCAAUUGCAAAAUUUCCAAGUUCAGGGUCAAAUUAAAAUGUCCACGGGUUGCUUGAAAACGUCGCCGUUGCUGGGAACAGCUGUGUUCGUCGUCUCAUCCCGGUUCAAAAGGCUGAAGAUCUGCAACAAAUUUGAUCCGAUCGUGGACCACGUCUCUUGCCCAUGAUCCCUUCUCGUGAUUUGAAUAACAGUCCUGCAAAGAUGGGAUUGAUUUAGGGGGGAGCUCUCGAGCUCUAUAAAAGGCACGAACAAGCCAGCACAAAAAAAAAACCCAGCAACAAGGAAAAAAAAACAAAGUAAUUCACCAGAAAAAAGAAGCAGGAGGACCAAAAAACCAGAAAAACACAAGCAAAAACCCAGAAAAACAGAGCCGGGAUAAACAGAAAAAACCAGAACAGGGGGGAAACAGAGGACGCGCACAAAUAAAGAUAGAGACGAGUAUUGGUGCUCAUUGCCUUCGUCCCUGCAAACAACGAAAACCAGGAAUCAAAAACAAGUUCCCCCUCAGGCCGGUCUCUUCAUCAUCCUCUCGACUGGAAAACCCAGGAGACACACAGAAAAAAAA
This 8350-nucleotide long non-coding RNA is filed under the name Populus tremula. RNAcentral describes it as "long non-coding RNA (PTRE_LNC003221)". Lineage: Eukaryota; Viridiplantae; Streptophyta; Magnoliopsida; Malpighiales; Salicaceae. The record is from RNAcentral.